RNAcentral lists this long non-coding RNA (1030 nucleotides) under Capra hircus (goat). Its description in RNAcentral is "lncRNA (ENSCHIG00000006008.1)". Lineage: Eukaryota; Metazoa; Chordata; Mammalia; Artiodactyla; Bovidae. The record is from RNAcentral.
AUGAAUGCAAAGUCCGGAAGAGAGAGAAAGCAAGCAUGGGACAGGUCGAGCCGGAAUCUGGUGAAUGCUGCUUUUUCUCAGACCACCAAACCAGUUGACCACGUUAGUUGCAAGCCAGGCGGGAUCCCAGCAGACACCACAGGGUCGUUUCCACUGGCUGAGUGGAGGGUGCCCUCCGUGGUAGGUCACAGCUCACUGGCUAGACCUCUGACUUCACCUUGUCAGACAGCUGACCUUUCCCAGAAGCCAUCUUCCAGGACGAAGAACAAACUAAAUUCAUCGCAAAAUGAUUAUAAAUCAUCAAGACGGAGCAGCCUGCCACCUGAAUUACUCAUAGGAAAUGAUAUUAAAGCAAGACUUCAAAGAAACUUUAGAAACUUGGAACCCAUUCACCUGAGGCGCCCAAAAAAGAGACCAUCCAUAUUUCCAGCUGAAUGGCUAUGAUUGAAAGUGUACCGGCUCAUCUGCUAGAGCAGAGUCUGUGCCAGAAGAAUCUUUGGAACAGCAGCAAAAUUCAUGAGAUUUUUGUGAGUUUCACUGUGUUCUUUGAAUGCUGGCUUCUGGAAAGAUCUAUGGGCAGCCACAGGCACAGCGAGAAUUAGACACAGCCAGAAUUCACCAUCUGCCACUGCUCUUGGGAGUGUACGAAGAUGAUGACUGUUAAUAUUAUUAAUUAUUCAUCAUGAGACAUUUAUUAAAACUCCACAGUAUUCUGCUGCUGAAACUCAUGCAUUCAAUUAAACAGACAUAAGAAACAGAAAUGUCUCUCUUCCUCAAAAAAAAAAAAAGUGAAAAGAGCUGGCUUUAAGCAAACAAUUUAUAGUAAACUAUACUAAUUUUUUUUCUCUCUGUGUCAGGAGAUAAUACAUUCAUGUUGAAGAAAUGCAAGAUAUAAGUGCAUGGGCCUGAUACUUAGACUAAAAUCCACACAUGAAGACAGAUGUUUAAAUGUGGACCUUACCUAUAUUUCAUUCAUCAGUAGUAGAAUCAGAUUAAUAAAAUUUCAGCUUUGAAAAGGACUCUGAGAUAG